UACGAGGGGUGCAAGCGUUAUUCGGAUUAACUGGGCGUAAAGGGUGUGUAGGUGGCAUAUUAAGUCCGCUGUUAAAUCCUUCAGCUUAACUGAAGGCUCGCGGUGGAUACUGAUGUGCUAGAGUAUGGAAGAGAGAAGUGGAAUUCUCGGAGUAGCGGUAAAAUGCGUAGAUCUCGAGAGGAACACCGAUGGCGAAAGCAGCUUCUUGGUCCAUUUCUGACACUGAUACACGAAAGCGUGGGGAGCAAACAGG
This 253-nucleotide unclassified non-coding RNA is filed under the name uncultured bacterium. RNAcentral describes it as "contains 16S-23S intergenic spacer region". It matches the Rfam family "Bacterial small subunit ribosomal RNA", at positions 524 to 776 of the family's 1533-position model. The record is from RNAcentral.